This is a long non-coding RNA of Oreochromis niloticus (Nile tilapia), 1498 nucleotides long. RefSeq lists it as uncharacterized. The transcript is spliced from 2 exons. Lineage: Eukaryota; Metazoa; Chordata; Actinopteri; Cichliformes; Cichlidae. The record is from RefSeq and is a predicted model, not a curated record.
UAUUCUCUGGAGUAAUGAGGACAGAGACUACAGUCUGAAAUUCAGCCAUUGUGGACUCUCUGUAUUUUUCCUCAAUGUCUUUGAGUUUGCACUGCAUGUCUCUUUGCUUUAUGUCUUGUUCUUCCUUCUGUUGAAGGAUUUCUCUAUUUUUUUCCAGCACUUUGUAGAGGUUUUCUUGGAGCUCCUCAUUAAUUUUGCGUGUGUGUUCGAGCUCUUCUUCUAACUUUUCUAUAGUAGCAUCAUUUGCAUCAAACUUGUCGGACCCUUGUUGUAAAAGAUCCAUAUGUUUCUUGUAGCCUUUUUUCAUGAAACAAAUCUCAUUUCGGGCUGUACCAAACUUGAUUCCCCAGCCUUCAUUAAUGAUCUUUAUGUCAGGCUGGCGUUUAAUUUGUGCUUCCAUUUCUAUGCACUUCUCCUGAAGUCCAAGCAUCUCUUCUUCAGCUCGUUUAAUUUUGUUUUGUAGAUCGACAGAGCAAAGAGAGGACAGGGAUGCGUUUUGUCGUUUUUGGUGUUUUUGUGGAUUCAUGGCUGUAUACACUACAGUGACUUUGAAAAGGUUUUCAGAUGUUUCUCUGGUGAACGUUUGAAUGCUGUGAAAACACUGACUAAAAAUUGCUGCUUCUCGGUCCUAUUUAAGGAAAAACUUCAAAGGAUUUAAGAUUCUAAAUUUGACUUUAUGACAUCAUCACUCUAAACCAAGGAGUGAUGAUGUCAUAAAGAAAAGGUCACAUGACAUUUUGGCUGGGCGGUGCCUAAAGGCCUCAGCUGUAGGUGUUUAAACCAACAGUCAUUGGUUUAAACCUUUCCAAAAGGUUGAUUCUGUUUUCAGUGAGAGAAACGUUUAGUCACUCAUCCAAGGGACUUCAGUCUCAGCUGACUGCAGGUUUUCCCCAACCUUAUAAACAGUACACUUGCACAAUAACUGAAACCAGCCCAGUGAAUGAACAGUGAGGUCAGUUCCUUGAUUAUUAGUAUGCAAAGCAAGACAUGUUUGAACAUUAAAUGUCCUCGUGUUCGGAGCAGCCUAAUGGAUGCGCUAAAGGGUUAAGAACAUACAGAGGUCAGCAGCGGAUAGUGAGGACAGCAGAGAGGAUCAUUGGAGGCCCUCUCCCGCCCAUCUCCCAACUCUACGACAAACACAUCAUCCGACGUGUGAAGGACACUUUCCACCCCUCACAUGCACUCUGGAUGGCGAUUGAUGGGGAACAGAGACUCUUCCCAUGAACGGAAACAACACGAACAGUGAGUACAGAAGGCCUUAGAGAGCGGCUAUGUGCCCGUGCGUUAAAGCAGGUACGUGAGUGCGCAAGCUGUGCGUGUAGACACAAGCUGCCUGGUUUCUCCGCCAGUGUUUUCGUUUUGUUAUUAAUCUUUUUGAUUUAUUUAAGGAGGGUUAAGUCGGUUUCUCCACCGAAGGAGGUUUAAAGAGGUUUCUCCACCGAAUAGAAGGAGGGUAAGGACGGUUUCUCCACCGAAAGGAGGAUAGAGCUCUAUAAAG